This 486-nucleotide ribosomal RNA is filed under the name uncultured bacterium. Its description in RNAcentral is "partial 16S ribosomal RNA". It matches the Rfam family "Bacterial small subunit ribosomal RNA", at positions 30 to 507 of the family's 1533-position model. The record is from RNAcentral.
AUUGAACGCUGGCGGCAUGCCUUACACAUGCAAGUCGAACGGCAGCACGGGUGCUUGCACCUGGUGGCGAGUGGCGAACGGGUGAGUAAUACAUCGGAACAUGUCCUGUAGUGGGGGAUAGCCCGGCGAAAGCCGGAUUAAUACCGCAUACGAUCUACGGAUGAAAGCGGGGGACCUUCGGGCCUCGCGCUAUAGGGUUGGCCGAUGGCUGAUUAGCUAGUUGGUGGGGUAAAGGCCUACCAAGGCGAAGAUCAGUAGCUGGUCUGAGAGGGCGACCAGCCACACUGGGACUGAGACACGGCCCAGACUCCUACGGGAGGCAGCAGUGGGGAAUUUUGGACAAUGGGCGAAAGCCUGAUCCAGCAAUGCCGCGUGUGUGAAGAAGGCCUUCGGGUUGUAAAGCACUUUUGUCCGGAAAGAAAUCCUUGGCCCUAAUACGGUCGGGGGAUGACGGUACCGGAAGAAUAAGCACCGGCUAACUACGUG